Molecule: ribosomal RNA, 458 nt
Filed under: uncultured beta proteobacterium
Lineage: Bacteria; Pseudomonadati; Pseudomonadota; Betaproteobacteria
Description: bacterial SSU rRNA
Rfam family: Bacterial small subunit ribosomal RNA
Source: RNAcentral
GGAAGCAGGGGAUCGUAAGACCUCGCGCUAUUGGAGCGGCCGAUGUCCGAUUAGCUAGUUGGUGGGGUAAUGGCCUACCAAGGCGACGAUCGGUAGCUGGUCUGAGAGGAUGAUCAGCCACACUGGGACUGAGAUACGGCCCAGACUCCUACGGGAGGCAGCAGUGGGGAAUUUUGGACAAUGGGCGAAAGCCUGAUCCAGCCAUGCCGCGUGAGUGAAGAAGGCCUUCGGGUUGUAAAGCUCUUUCGGCCGGAACGAAAUCGUCCGGGCUAAUACCCCGGAUGGAUGACGGUACCGGAAGAAGAAGCACCGGCUAACUACGUGCCAGCAGCCGCGGUAAUACGUAGGGUGCAGGCGUUAAUCGGAAUUACUGGGCGUAAAGCGUGCGCAGGCGGCUUCCUAAGUCAGAUGUGAAAUCCCCGGGCUUAACCUGGGAACUGCGUUUGAAACUACAAAGC